AAUGAACGCUGGCGGCGUGCCUAACACAUGCAAGUCGUACGAGAAAGGGGCUUCGGCCCUGAGUAGAGUGGCGCACGGGUGAGUAACGCGUGGGUAAUCUGCCCUUGGAUUUGGAAUAAAUCCGCGAAAGUGGAGCUAAUACCGGAUAGUCUGGCUUUUUAACGAAGGCGGUAAAGGAUGCCUCUGCAUAUGCAUUCGUCCGAGGAUGAGCCCGCGUCUCAUUAGCUAGUUGGUAGGGUAAUGGCCUAACAAGGGAACGAUGGGUAGCUGGUCUGAGAGGAUGAUCAGCCACACUGGAACUGAAACACGGUCCAGACUCCUACGGGAGGCAGCAGUGGGGAAUAUUGCGCAAUGGGCGAAAGCCUGACGCAGCAACGCCGUGUGAGGGAUGAAGGCUUUCGGGUCGUAAACCUCUGUCAGAAGGGAAGAACGGGCAUUGGUCUAAUAGGCCUUUGUUUUGACGGUACCUUCAGAGGAAGCACCGGCUAACUCCGUGCCAGCAGCCGCAGUAA
RNAcentral lists this ribosomal RNA (512 nucleotides) under uncultured bacterium. RNAcentral describes it as "partial 16S ribosomal RNA". It matches the Rfam family "Bacterial small subunit ribosomal RNA", at positions 29 to 523 of the family's 1533-position model. The record is from RNAcentral.